This 1171-nucleotide ribosomal RNA is filed under the name Citrobacter cronae. Its description in RNAcentral is "partial 23S ribosomal RNA". It matches the Rfam family "Bacterial large subunit ribosomal RNA", at positions 1762 to 2925 of the family's 2925-position model. Lineage: Bacteria; Pseudomonadati; Pseudomonadota; Gammaproteobacteria; Enterobacterales; Enterobacteriaceae. The record is from RNAcentral.
UGGAGCUGAAAUCAGUCGAAGAUACCAGCUGGCUGCAACUGUUUAUUAAAAACACAGCACUGUGCAAACACGAAAGUGGACGUAUACGGUGUGACGCCUGCCCGGUGCCGGAAGGUUAAUUGAUGGGGUUAUCCGUAAGGAGAAGCUCUUGAUCGAAGCCCCGGUAAACGGCGGCCGUAACUAUAACGGUCCUAAGGUAGCGAAAUUCCUUGUCGGGUAAGUUCCGACCUGCACGAAUGGCGUAAUGAUGGCCAGGCUGUCUCCACCCGAGACUCAGUGAAAUUGAACUCGCUGUGAAGAUGCAGUGUACCCGCGGCAAGACGGAAAGACCCCGUGAACCUUUACUAUAGCUUGACACUGAACACUGGUCCUUGAUGUGUAGGAUAGGUGGGAGGCUUUGAAGUGUGGACGCCAGUCUGCAUGGAGCCGUCCUUGAAAUACCACCCUUUAAUGGCUGGUGUUCUAACGUGGGCCCGUAAUCCGGGUUGCGGACAGUGUCUGGUGGGUAGUUUGACUGGGGCGGUCUCCUCCCAAAGAGUAACGGAGGAGCACGAAGGUUAGCUAAUCCUGGUCGGACAUCAGGAGGUUAGUGCAAAGGCAUAAGCUAGCUUGACUGCGAGAGUGACGGCUCGAGCAGGUGCGAAAGCAGGUCUUAGUGAUCCGGUGGUUCUGAAUGGAAGGGCCAUCGCUCAACGGAUAAAAGGUACUCCGGGGAUAACAGGCUGAUACCGCCCAAGAGUUCAUAUCGACGGCGGUGUUUGGCACCUCGAUGUCGGCUCAUCACAUCCUGGGGCUGAAGUAGGUCCCAAGGGUAUGGCUGUUCGCCAUUUAAAGUGGUACGCGAGCUGGGUUUAGAACGUCGUGAGACAGUUCGGUCCCUAUCUGCCGUGGGCGCUGGAGAAUUGAGGGGGGCUGCUCCUAGUACGAGAGGACCGGAGUGGACGCAUCACUGGUGUUCGGGUUGUCAUGCCAAUGGCACUGCCCGGUAGCUAAAUGCGGAAGAGAUAAGUGCUGAAAGCAUCUAAGCACGAAACUUGCCCCGAGAUGAGUUCUCCCUGAGACUUUGAGUCUCCUGAAGGAACGUUGAAGACGACGACGUUGAUAGGUCGGGUGUGUAAGUGUAGCGAUACAUUGAGCUAACCGAUACUAAUGAACCGUGAGGCUUAACCUU